RNAcentral lists this transfer RNA (88 nucleotides) under Deltaproteobacteria bacterium. RNAcentral's name for it is "tRNA-Ser". It matches the Rfam family "tRNA". From Rfam's summary of the family: Transfer RNA (tRNA) molecules are approximately 80 nucleotides in length. Their secondary structure includes four short double-helical elements and three loops (D, anti-codon, and T loops). Lineage: Bacteria; Pseudomonadati; Myxococcota; Myxococcia. The record is from RNAcentral.
GGAGGAGUGUCCGAGAGGUCGAAGGUGCCUGACUCGAAAUCAGGUGUAGGGCAACCUACCGGGGGUUCGAAUCCCUCCUCCUCCGCCA